UACGUAGGGUGCAGGCGUUAAUCGGAAUUACUGGGCGUAAAGCGUGCGCAGGCGGUUCGUUAAGUCAGAUGUGAAAGCCCCGGGCUCAACCUGGGAACUGCAUUUGAAACUGGCGGGCUUGAGUGUGGCAGAGGGGGGUGGAAUUCCGCGUGUAGCAGUGAAAUGCGUAGAGAUGCGGAGGAACACCGAUGGCGAAGGCAGCCCCCUGGGCCAACACUGACACUGAGGAGCGAAAGCCAGGGGAGCAAACGGG
Molecule: ribosomal RNA, 253 nt
Filed under: uncultured bacterium
Lineage: Bacteria
Description: partial 16S ribosomal RNA
Rfam family: Bacterial small subunit ribosomal RNA
Source: RNAcentral